RNAcentral lists this ribosomal RNA (375 nucleotides) under uncultured organism. RNAcentral's name for it is "partial 16S ribosomal RNA". It matches the Rfam family "Bacterial small subunit ribosomal RNA", at positions 527 to 896 of the family's 1533-position model. The record is from RNAcentral.
GGAGGGCGCAAGCGUUGUUCGGAAUUACUGGGCGUAAAGCGCGUGUAGGCGGUUCGGAAAGUCGGGUGUGAAAGCCCGGGGCUCAACCCCGGAAUUGCACUCGAAACUGCCGGGCUAGAGUCCCGGAGAGGAGGGCAGAAUUCCCAGUGUAGGGGUGAAAUCCGUAGAUAUUGGGAGGAAUACCAGUGGCGAAGGCGGCCCUCUGGACGGUGACUGACGCUGAGACGCGAAAGCGUGGGGAGCAAACAGGAUUAGAUACCCUGGGUAGUCCACGCCGUAAACGUUGCGCACUAGGUGUCGGGGGUAUUCACCCCCUCCGGUGCCCGACGGUAACCCCAUUAAGUGCGCCGCCUGGGGAGUACGGCCGCAAGGCUA